This is a long non-coding RNA of Homo sapiens (human), 1851 nucleotides long. RefSeq lists it as uncharacterized. The record is from RefSeq and is a predicted model, not a curated record. The transcript has 3 exons. Lineage: Eukaryota; Metazoa; Chordata; Mammalia; Primates; Hominidae.
GAAUCAGCUUUCUGUUUACUGUGGGCAAUGGCUGUGUUUUCUUUUUGAUGUCCUUUGCAGUGGAUCACAGCUACCUGCUGAGGUGAGUAGCUUGCUUUCCUGGUAGAUGGCUUUACGUACAUGCACAGUAGCAAAGGUGUACUUGCUGUCACUGUAAAUGUUAAUACGUUUUUUCUACUUUAUUGGAGAGCCUGAGUGAGGGCGAUCAAUUCAGCCUUUUGUGCGGAGGUGUUCGCUGGUAAAGCUUGAGCUUACAACACAUCUGUCUCCGUGGUAACAGCUGCACUGGCUUUUCAUACUUCCUGCUUGAGGAAGCUGCUACUGUCUGUGAACACGGAGGCAUCUGCCUCUUCUAGGGGCACAUCUUGAAGAUCAGAGCAGCCAGUUUUGAUAGUUUCUAACAGUUCUUGACAGUCAUGAGCAGGAAUAGUGCAGUCUGAGUCAGGAAGUAGUGUAGCUGGAUUGAAACACUUUGAGGGAGAGAAAGUCAAACGAGGCUGAUCUAACAGUAAACUUUGAUACUGCAAGAUGCGAGCAUUUGACAUCUAUUUGCCAGAAGCAUUUUGUAGUAAGGUCUUUAUGGCAUGAAGAGCUGUAAGGGUUAAAUUUUGGCUUAGAGUUAACUUAUCAUCUUCUUGGGCCAGGCUUGCUAUAGCCGCUAAGGCUCGCAGACAACUUGGCCAUCUACAGGCCACAGGAUCUAGCCUCUUAGAUAGACCACUGGGCAUCUUUAGGGUAUUAGAGUCUGAGUAAGGCACGUCUUUAGCAACUCUUUGGCUUUUAUGGAGACAUUGGGGAGGGCUAAAGCAGGGGCUUCAGUUAAUGCUAAAUUAACGGGAUAUUUCAUUCUGUACUUCUUGGAUAGCUGCCACUAAGAUUUUUGUUUGUCUUUUGAAUGCUUUAUCAGCAGCCUUUUCAGCUGCCUGUGUUGCUUGUUUUUGUUUUUUAAACUUUUGAUGGUCAAAAACUUUUUGGGCUAUUUCUGAAAGCUGACUGAUAUUUAUUCUAGCAAAGCUUUCUAGUUUUUGGAGUUUCUUUUUAAUAUCCGGGGCUGCCUGAGCCACAAAUGCUAAAUUAAGAGCACGGCUAUUUUCGGGAGCUGCCGGGUCAAAAGGGGUGUAAGUCUGAUAAGCCUCCUGGAGGCGCUCUAAAAACGUUCUUGGUGACUUAUCGGGCCUUUGGACAACUUCGGUCGUCUUAGACAAGUUUAUGGGUUUCUGAGCGGCUCUUUUAAUACUUGCGAGGAGAUACCGGUGAAAAUCGUCUAAAGCUCCCUUUCUACUUGAGGAAUUUGGGUCCCAGUUAGGCUGGGUAGAGGGAAAGACCUCCUCAAGGAGGUCUCUAGCUUCUCCUUCCGGUCCACUGGCUGAUGUGAGGAAGUACUUUUUGGCUUCUUUUCAGAUACGUUCUUUCUUUUCAGAGGUGAAAAGGGUUAAAAGGAGCUGUUGGCAAUCAUCUUAGACAGACAAGGGGAGUGGUUCCUGUGAUGGGAUCAGUCAGAUGCCUGCCUGGCCGCUCCCCCUGAGGGGACUUGGGCUCCUCUUAGCAUUGGCAGGCCGGUAUAAACUUCCGGCUCAGAUCGAGCUAUGCCUGAUGCUGCCUUAAGCCUUAUGAGGUCGCCAAGGAACCGCAGAAACUCCUGGAGGGCAGAGCUGUGUCUGCCAUCUUCAUCAUUGCAUUACCACCACCCAGCACAGUGCCUGGCACAAAAGAGUUGCUCAAUAAAUAAAUCCGGAUGAAUGGAUAAAUACAUGGAUAGGCACUUUGAACUACAGAUGAGUUUAAAUACUUUGUGUUUUUCUUAGUCAAACAUGUGCAAUUAAGCAUGUGAUAAAUGAUAUGAUGACCACA